GGUAGGAGCCUUAGAAGCGUGAGCGCUAGCUUACGUGGAGGCAUUGGUGGGAUACUACCCUAAUUGUAUUGGAUUUCUAACCCGCAGCACUUAUCGUGCUGGGAGACAGUGUCAGGCGGGCAGUUUGACUGGGGCGGUCGCCUCCUAAAGAGUAACGGAGGCGCUCAAAGGUUCCCUCAGAAUGGUUGGAAAUCAUUCAUAGAGUGUAAAGGCAUAAGGGAGCUUGACUGCGAGACCUACAAGUCGAGCAGGGUCGAAAGACGGACUUAGUGAUCCGGUGGUUCCGCAUGGAAGGGCCAUCGCUCAACGGAUAAAAGCUACCCCGGGGAUAACAGGCUUAUCUCCCCCAAGAGUUCACAUCGACGGGGAGGUUUGGCACCUCGAUGUCGGCUCAUCGCAUCCUGGGGCUGUAGUCGGUCCCAAGGGUUGGGCUGUUCGCCCAUUAAAGCGGUACGCGAGCUGGGUUCAGAACGUCGUGAGACAGUUCGGUCCCUAUCCGUCGUGGGCGUAGGAAAUUUGAGAGGAGCUGUCCUUAGUACGAGAGGACCGGGAUGGACAUACCUCUGGUGUACCAGUUGUCGUGCCAACGGCAUAGCUGGGUAGCUAUGUAUGGACGGGAUAAGUGCUGAAAGCAUCUAAGCAUGAAGCCCCCCU
This 654-nucleotide ribosomal RNA is filed under the name Staphylococcus pseudintermedius. RNAcentral's name for it is "partial 23S ribosomal RNA". It matches the Rfam family "Bacterial large subunit ribosomal RNA", at positions 2146 to 2799 of the family's 2925-position model. Lineage: Bacteria; Bacillati; Bacillota; Bacilli; Caryophanales; Staphylococcaceae. The record is from RNAcentral.